This 497-nucleotide ribosomal RNA is filed under the name uncultured bacterium. RNAcentral describes it as "partial 16S ribosomal RNA". It matches the Rfam family "Bacterial small subunit ribosomal RNA", at positions 28 to 507 of the family's 1533-position model. The record is from RNAcentral.
GAUGAACGCUGGCGGCGUGCCUAAUACAUGCAAGUCGAGCGAACGGGCGAGAAGCUUGCUUCUCUGAUGUUAGCGGCGGACGGGUGAGUAACACGUGGAUAACCUACCUAUAAGACUGGGAUAACUUCGGGAAACCGGAGCUAAUACCGGAUAAUAUUUUGAACCGCAUGGUUCAAAAGUAAAAGACGGUCUUGCUGUCACUUAUAGAUGGAUCCGCGCUGCAUUAGCUAGUUGGUAAGGUAACGGCUUACCAAGGCAACGAUGCAUAGCCGACCUGAGAGGGUGAUCGGCCACACUGGAACUGAGACACGGUCCAGACUCCUACGGGAGGCAGCAGUAGGGAAUCUUCCGCAAUGGGCGAAAGCCUGACGGAGCAACGCCGCGUGAGUGAUGAAGGUCUUCGGAUCGUAAAACUCUGUUAUUAGGGAAGAACAUAUGUGUAAGUAACUGUGCACAUCUUGACGGUACCUAAUCAGAAAGCCACGGCUAACUACGUG